AUGCCAUUAUCUACUACCAUUAUAAAAGAAAGAGAUGGGCACAUCCAAACAAUCAGAUCCAUCCAUUUACAAGAUCUAAUGGCUCUUAAUCCUUUAAUGUUUAACCCUACAAGCCACGGAAUUAAGCCCCCGCUGCCCCUUCGUACAAAAAACUGCUCCGCACGCCGCACCACAACCUUCGCCCGCUCCUCCUGUAAACAAAACAAUGCCACGACCGCGGCCCGCUCCUCCAUUCCGCCCCCGCUCCACUCGCCCACCAUCGCCCGCUCCACUCGGCCUCCGCCGUCGCCGCCGCACAACUGGGCCUCCAUCGCCGCCGAUCCUCCGCUCGCUGCUCCACUCUACCGCCGUCCGUCGUCCGCCGGCUGA
This 369-nucleotide ribosomal RNA is filed under the name Triticum aestivum (bread wheat). RNAcentral describes it as "partial small subunit ribosomal RNA". The record is from RNAcentral. Lineage: Eukaryota; Viridiplantae; Streptophyta; Magnoliopsida; Poales; Poaceae.